RNAcentral lists this ribosomal RNA (253 nucleotides) under uncultured bacterium. RNAcentral describes it as "partial 16S ribosomal RNA". It matches the Rfam family "Bacterial small subunit ribosomal RNA", at positions 524 to 776 of the family's 1533-position model. The record is from RNAcentral.
UACGUAGGGUCCAAGCGUUAAUCGGAAUUACUGGGCGUAAAGGGUGCGCAGGUGGUUACGUAAGUCUGAUGUGAAAUCCCCGGGCUCAACCUGGGAACUGCAUUGGAGACUGUGUGACUAGAGUGUGGCAGAGGGGGGUGGAAUUCCGCGUGUAGCAGUGAAAUGCGUAGAGAUGCGGAGGAACACCAAUGGCGAAGGCAGCCCCCUGGGUUAACACUGACACUCAUGCACGAAAGCGUGGGGAGCAAACAGG